Molecule: unclassified non-coding RNA, 300 nt
Filed under: uncultured fungus
Lineage: Eukaryota; Fungi
Description: sequence contains 5.8S rRNA gene, ITS2
Rfam family: 5.8S ribosomal RNA (bases 1-73)
Source: RNAcentral
GUGAGUCAUCGAAUCUUUGAACGCACAUUGCACCCUUUGGUUUUUAUCAAAGGGUAUGUCUGUUUGAGAAUCGUAUUACCAUUUCAAGCCUAUCACGCUUAUGCGAGGCAGGCUUAAAGUUGAGGCUUUAAUAAUAAGCACUUUGCUGUUUAUUGGCCUUUAAAUUGAGGGAUUUGCCAAGCUGGCUAGCCAACGUAUACAUGACUUAAAACAUCUUGUAUACAUCAGUGCCAGUCUUAGGGCUCUGUGUGGUAAGGUGUGUCAGUUAGACAACGCCAAUAACACUUUGCUCGUUCAUCA